Molecule: ribosomal RNA, 322 nt
Filed under: uncultured eukaryote
Lineage: Eukaryota
Description: partial 18S ribosomal RNA
Rfam family: Eukaryotic small subunit ribosomal RNA
Source: RNAcentral
CCCUUAGAUGUUCUGGGCCGCACGCGUGCUACACUGAGUGGAUCAGCGGGUCAGGUUGCGCGAAAGUGUUUCCUAAUCUUGAAAUCCGCUCGUGAUGGGGAUUGACGGUUGCAACUUUCCGUCAUGAACGAGGAAUACCUUGUAAGCGCGGGUCAUCAUCCCGCGCUGAAUACGUCCCUGCCCUUUGUACACACCGCCCGUCGCUCCUACCGAUUGAGUGGUCCGGUGAGGCUUUGGGAUCUGAGCGGAAAGAGCGUUUCGCUGUUUCUGCUCGGAAAACUCAGUCGAACCUUAUCAUUUAGAGGAAGGAGAAGUCGUAACA